GACGAACGCUGGCGGCGUGCCUAAUACAUGCAAGUAGAACGCUGAAGCUUGGUGCUUGCACCGAGCGGAUGAGUUGCGAACGGGUGAGUAACGCGUAGGUAACCUGCCUGGUAGCGGGGGAUAACUAUUGGAAACGAUAGCUAAUACCGCAUAAGAGUAGAUGUUGCAUGACAUUUGCUUAAAAGGUGCAAUUGCAUCACUACCAGAUGGACCCGCGUUGUAUUAGCUAGUUUGUGAGGUAACGGCCUACCCAGGCAACGAUACAUAGCCGACCUGAGAGGGUGAUCGGCCACACUGGGACUGAGACACCGCCCAGACUCCUACGGGAGGCAACAGUAAGGGAACUUCGGCAAUGGACGGAAGGCUGACCGAGCAACGCCGCGGGAGUGAAGAAGGGUUUCGGAUCGUAAAGCUCUGUUGUAAGAGAAGAACGAGUGGUGGAGGGGAAAGUUCACACUGUGACGGUAUCUUACCAGAAAGGGACGGCUAACUACGUG
RNAcentral lists this ribosomal RNA (497 nucleotides) under uncultured bacterium. Its description in RNAcentral is "partial 16S ribosomal RNA". It matches the Rfam family "Bacterial small subunit ribosomal RNA", at positions 28 to 507 of the family's 1533-position model. The record is from RNAcentral.